This is a long non-coding RNA of Anguilla anguilla (European eel), 945 nucleotides long. RefSeq lists it as uncharacterized. The record is from RefSeq and is a predicted model, not a curated record. Lineage: Eukaryota; Metazoa; Chordata; Actinopteri; Anguilliformes; Anguillidae. The transcript has 4 exons.
CUAAAACAAACACAUUCGUAAUCCAGGGCUCCUGAAAAGAUUCUUCCUCUUCAAAGCGGAAAUUCAAAGGAGAAGGCUUUCACCACAGUUCCCAGAAUUGCCUGGGGCCUCUCUCCUGGCAAGCCCAGGAUGGUGCCAUAGUCUUCCUUCAGGAGUCAAUUAGGCAUGCAAGACGUGCCAAUCAAGGCUCGCCCAGCGUGACGCGUGCGAAGGCGGGCGGGAGGGAGGGCUCCUUUCAGAGGCCGUGACACAGACUUCUCACAGCAUUACAAACGUUAAACAUGAUUUCUGACACACGCCGAACCCCAGCCACUGCAGUUCUGCAGGGAUGUGGGAGGCGUAUCAAAUAACCGCACGCUGGGCCUCGGCCAGCAUUUCGCUCAUCUAUCACGUCUGGGGGCGACCGCACCGAACAACUGGAGGUUGCAGUUCAAAGUUGUUGUGGAACGCAAACAAACUAUGUACUAACAAACUGCUAAUGACAAUUUAUGAAACUGGUGCCAGAGAUGUAAUCAGGCUAAAUAAAGCUAAAGCAGAACAUUUUGCCAGCAAUUCAGUUUUGAUAUUCAGGCUGUCAUUUGAGGGUGUGUAUGAACUUAUGCUGAGCGCUACCUUGGAAAAGUGGGAGUAGGAGACGUUGUCAUUGCAACAACACCUUAACUUACCUGAGUUCAUCUAAGUCAUACAGUAUGUGUGCAUAUGGAUAUUUAACAAUUAUGAAAUAAAUAAACUGUAGUGGUCUGUAACUGAGUUGUAUUAAAUUCAUGGUAGUUCCUUCUUAAUUGAUUUCUAUUUUUUACAAAGUAGUAUCUUGACUAGAAUGUCAGAAAACAUAAGUGUGUCUUGCCAUAAAAUACCUGGGUAGGUUAAUUUGACUGUUUUGACUGACAGUUGGUUUGUACCUUUUAACUCUGAUUCUGGUUCAAUGACAGAGGAUGCCUUCAA